AAAGCGCACGCAGGCGGUCUGUUAAGUCAGAUGUGAAAUCCCCGGGCUUAACCUGGGAACUGCAUUUGAAACUGGCAGGCUUGAGUCUUGUAGAGGGGGGUAGAAUUCCAGGUGUAGCGGUGAAAUGCGUAGAGAUCUGGAGGAAUACCGGUGGCGAAGGCGGCCCCCUGGACAAAGACUGACGCUCAGGUGCGAAAGCGUGGGGAGCAAACAGGAUUAGAUACCCUAGU
This 230-nucleotide ribosomal RNA is filed under the name uncultured bacterium. RNAcentral describes it as "partial 16S ribosomal RNA". It matches the Rfam family "Bacterial small subunit ribosomal RNA", at positions 562 to 791 of the family's 1533-position model. The record is from RNAcentral.